RNAcentral lists this ribosomal RNA (488 nucleotides) under uncultured methanogenic archaeon. RNAcentral describes it as "bacterial SSU rRNA". It matches the Rfam family "Archaeal small subunit ribosomal RNA", at positions 516 to 1002 of the family's 1478-position model. The record is from RNAcentral. Lineage: Archaea; Methanobacteriati; Methanobacteriota.
GGUCCGUAGCCGGUUUGAUCAGUCUUCCGGGAAAUCUGACAGCUCAACUGUUAGGCUUCUGGGGGAUACUGUCAGACUUGGAACCGGGAGAGGUAAGAGGUACUACAGGGGUAGGAGUGAAAUCUUGUAAUCCUUGUGGGACCACCAGUGGCGAAGGCGUCUUACCAGAACGGGUUCGACGGUGAGGGACGAAAGCUGGGGGCACGAACCGGAUUAGAUACCCGGGUAGUCCCAGCCGUAAACGAUGCUCGCUAGGUGUCUGGGAUGGUGCGACCGUUUCAGGUGCCGCAGGGAAGCCGUGAAGCGAGCCACCUGGGAAGUACGGCCGCAAGGCUGAAACUUAAAGGAAUUGGCGGGGGAGCACUACAACGGGUGGAGCCUGCGGUUUAAUUGGACUCAACGCCGGAAAACUCACCUGGGGCGACAGCAAUAUGUAGGUCAGGCUGAAGGUCUUACCUGAAUCGCUGAGAGGAGGGGCCAUGGCCACC